GUUGCGGUUAAAAAGCUCGUAGUUGGAUUUCUGUCGAGGACGGUCGGUCCACACUUUGUGUGAGUAUCUGAUUCGGCCUUGGCAUCCUCCUGGGGAACGUUUCUGCGCUUGAUUGCGUGGAGCGGAAUUCAGGACUUUUACUUUGAGGAAAGUAGAGUGUUCACGGCAGGCAAACGCCUUGAAUAUAUUAGCAUGGAAUAAUAAUAUAGGACUUUGGUUUUAUUUUGUUGGUUUCUAGAACUAAAGUAAUGAUUAAUAGGGAUAAUUGGGGGCAUUUGUAUUAACGCGUCAGAGGUGGAAUUCUUGGAUUGCGUUACGACAAACUACUGCGAAAGCAUUUGCCAAGGAUGUUUUCAUUGAUCAAGAACGAAAGUAUGGGGAUCGAAGAUGAUUAGAUACCGUCGUAGUCUAUACCAUAAACUAUGCCGACUAGAGAUUGGAGGUCGUUCUUUCUAUGACUCCUUCAGCACCUUAUGAGAAAUCAAAGUCUUUGGGUUCCGGGGGGAGUAUGGUCGCAAGGCUGAAACUUAAAGGAAUUGACGGAAGGGCACCACCAGGAGUGGAGCCUGCGGCUUAAUUUGACUCAACACGGGGAAACUCACCAGGUCCAGACAUAG
RNAcentral lists this ribosomal RNA (617 nucleotides) under uncultured marine eukaryote. RNAcentral's name for it is "SSU rRNA". It matches the Rfam family "Eukaryotic small subunit ribosomal RNA", at positions 612 to 1233 of the family's 1831-position model. The record is from RNAcentral.